This 58-nucleotide transfer RNA is filed under the name Parasacculina shiinoi. Its description in RNAcentral is "tRNA-Gly". The record is from RNAcentral. Lineage: Eukaryota; Metazoa; Arthropoda; Thecostraca; Polyascidae.
GUCUAAUUAGUAUAAUAAGUAUGUUUUAUUUCCAGUUAAGAGGUUUUUUAAUUAGAUA